This 728-nucleotide ribosomal RNA is filed under the name Escherichia coli. RNAcentral's name for it is "bacterial SSU rRNA". It matches the Rfam family "Bacterial small subunit ribosomal RNA", at positions 798 to 1533 of the family's 1533-position model. Lineage: Bacteria; Pseudomonadati; Pseudomonadota; Gammaproteobacteria; Enterobacterales; Enterobacteriaceae. The record is from RNAcentral.
GGCGCUAAUAGGUCGACUUGGAGGUUGUGCCCUUGAGGCGUGGCUUCCGGAGCUAACGCGUUAAGUCGACCGCCUGGGGAGUACGGCCGCAAGGUUAAAACUCAAAUGAAUUGACGGGGGCCCGCACAAGCGGUGGAGCAUGUGGUUUAAUUCGAUGCAACGCGAAGAACCUUACCUGGUCUUGACAUCCACAGAACUUUCCAGAGAUGAAUUGGUGCCUUCGGGAACUGUGAGACAGGUGCUGCAUGGCUGUCGUCAGCUCGUGUUGUGAAAUGUUGGGUUAAGUCCCGCAACGAGCGCAACCCUUAUCCUUUGUUGCCAGCGGUCCGGCCGGGAACUCAAAGGAGACUGCCAGUGAUAAACUGGAGGAAGGUGGGGAUGACGUCAAGUCAUCAUGGCCCUUACGACCAGGGCUACACACGUGCUACAAUGGCGCAUACAAAGAGAAGCGACCUCGCGAGAGCAAGCGGACCUCAUAAAGUGCGUCGUAGUCCGGAUUGGAGUCUGCAACUCGACUCCAUGAAGUCGGAAUCGCUAGUAAUCGUGGAUCAGAAUGCCACGGUGAAUACGUUCCCGGGCCUUGUACACACCGCCCGUCACACCAUGGGAGUGGGUUGCAAAAGAAGUAGGUAGCUUAACCUUCGGGAGGGCGCUUACCACUUUGUGAUUCAUGACUGGGGUGAAGUCUAAGGGGGACCCCCCCAAAAAAGCAAGCCGACCCCCCGGUU